This 461-nucleotide ribosomal RNA is filed under the name uncultured bacterium. RNAcentral's name for it is "partial 16S ribosomal RNA". It matches the Rfam family "Bacterial small subunit ribosomal RNA", at positions 328 to 792 of the family's 1533-position model. The record is from RNAcentral.
UUACCAGACUCCUACGGGAGGCAGCAGUGGGGGAUAUUGCACAAUGGGGGGAACCCUGAUGCAGCGACGCCGCGUGAGUGAAGAAGUCUUUCGGUAUGUAAAGCUCUAUCAGCAGGGAAGAAAGAGACGAAAGUCUUGUGACAGUACCUGACUAAGAAGCCCCGGCUAACUACGUGCCAGCAGCCGCGGUAAUACGGAGGGUGCGAGCGUUAAUCGGAAUUACUGGGCGUAAAGCGCUCGUAGGCGGUAUGUCAAGUCAAGGGUGAAAUCCCCGCGCUCAACGUGGGAACUGCCUUUGAAACUGGCAAACUGGAGUGUGUGAGAGGAUAGUGGAAUUCCAGGUGUAGGAGUGAAAUCCGUAGAUAUCUGGAGGAACAUCAGUGGCGAAGGUGACUAUCUGGCACAUAACUGACGCUGAGGAGCGAAAGCGUGGGUAGCAAACAGGAUUAGAUACCCCAGUA